Molecule: ribosomal RNA, 1029 nt
Filed under: Alternaria sp.
Lineage: Eukaryota; Fungi; Ascomycota; Dothideomycetes; Pleosporales; Pleosporaceae
Description: SSU rRNA
Rfam family: Eukaryotic small subunit ribosomal RNA
Source: RNAcentral
UUAUACCGUGAAACUGCGAAUGGCUCAUUAAAUCAGUUAUCGUUUAUUUGAUAAUACCUUACUACUUGGAUAACCGUGGUAAUUCUAGAGCUAAUACAUGCUGAAAAUCCCGACUUCGGAAGGGAUGUGUUUAUUAGAUAAAAAACCAAUGCCCUUCGGGGCUUUUUGGUGAUUCAUGAUAACUUUACGGAUCGCAUAGCCUUGCGCUGGCGACGGUUCAUUCAAAUUUCUGCCCUAUCAACUUUCGAUGGUAAGGUAUUGGCUUACCAUGGUUUCAACGGGUAACGGGGAAUUAGGGUUCGAUUCCGGAGAGGGAGCCUGAGAAACGGCUACCACAUCCAAGGAAGGCAGCAGGCGCGCAAAUUACCCAAUCCCGACACGGGGAGGUAGUGACAAUAAAUACUGAUACAGGGCUCUUUUGGGUCUUGUAAUUGGAAUGAGUACAAUUUAAACCUCUUAACGAGGAACAAUUGGAGGGCAAGUCUGGUGCCAGCAGCCGCGGUAAUUCCAGCUCCAAUAGCGUAUAUUAAAGUUGUUGCAGUUAAAAAGCUCGUAGUUGAAACUUGGGCCUGGCUGGCGGGUCCGCCUCACCGCGUGCACUCGUCCGGCCGGGCCUUCCUUCUGAAGAACCUCAUGCCCUUCACUGGGCGUGCUGGGGAAUCAGGACUUUUACUUUGAAAAAAUUAGAGUGUUCAAAGCAGGCCUUUGCUCGAAUACGUUAGCAUGGAAUAAUAAAAUAGGGCGUGCGUUUCUAUUUUGUUGGUUUCUAGAGACGCCGCAAUGAUUAACAGGAACAGUCGGGGGCAUCAGUAUUCAGUUGUCAGAGGUGAAAUUCUUGGAUUUACUGAAGACUAACUACUGCGAAAGCAUUUGCCAAGGAUGUUUUCAUUAAUCAGUGAACGAAAGUUAGGGGAUCGAAGACGAUCAGAUACCGUCGUAGUCUUAACCGUAAACUAUGCCGACUAGGGAUCGGGCGAUGUUCUUUUUCUGACUCGCUCGGCACCUUACGAGAAAUCAAAGUUUUUGGGU